Betta splendens (Siamese fighting fish) is the source of this 382-nucleotide long non-coding RNA. RefSeq lists it as uncharacterized. The record is from RefSeq and is a predicted model, not a curated record. The transcript has 3 exons. Lineage: Eukaryota; Metazoa; Chordata; Actinopteri; Anabantiformes; Osphronemidae.
GUUCUCACCUCUCAGUUCUCUAUUCUGAGAGAACUGGACCUGAGUAACAACAACCUGCAGGAUUCAGGAGUGAAGGUUCUGUGCACUGGACUGAAGAGUCCUCGCUGUCGACUGGAGACUCUCAGGCUGUCAGGCUGUCUGCUCUCAGAGGAAACUUGUGUCUCUCUGGCCUCAGCUCUGAGCUCCAACCCCUCCCAUCUGAGAGAGCUGGACCUGAGCUACAAUCAUCCAGGAGACUCAGGAGUGGAGCUGUUGUCUGCUGGAGUCAAGGAUCCACACUGGAGACUGGACACUCUCAGGGUGGAGCCUCGUGGAUUCCGAUACUUGACACCAGGUCUGAGAAAAUGUAAGUGUGUUUGUACUGAGAUCAGCAACAUUCAAC